Molecule: long non-coding RNA, 570 nt
Filed under: Callithrix jacchus (white-tufted-ear marmoset)
Lineage: Eukaryota; Metazoa; Chordata; Mammalia; Primates; Cebidae
Description: lncRNA (ENSCJAG00000054603.2)
Source: RNAcentral
CCGAUUCAUGGCUACAGGUCUUUCCUGUGCUGUUUUUGUGCUAGUGAAUACGUCUCAGGGCAUCUGGUGGCUUUAAAAACAUGAAUUUGCCUGCGCAAGCUCUCGCUUUCCCUGCUGCCACCCACCUAAGAUGUGUUUUCUCCUCAUUGCCUUCCUCCGUGACUGUGAAGCUUCCACAGCCACAUGGAACUGGUCUAUGAGAUGCCAAGUUGUUUUCAUAAACAUCAGCCAAGAGAAGAUUGACCGAUUUGGAUACAGAGGCAGAAAUAAAGAUCAGGCAAACACUGAAAAUAUUUACAGAAUGAAUUCAACUGAUGGGACCACCCUGGUAAGGAAUGGAACAGUUAAAGAGAUACAGACCCAUGUAUCCUCAAAUAUAUAAAGAAGCCUUACCCCAAACUGUGUAGUGAAUGGAGAGGAUCAUCAGAGGAAGAUACAUGAGCUAACUGUAGUCAGCGUGAGUGAGAAUCAGACAGAGAGAGAGGAGAAAAGGGGACGAGAAGAUAUGGGAUCAUACAGAAACUAUAACUGUAAACACAUUACAACAGUAGACAUUUGGUAAUAGUAGAC